RNAcentral lists this ribosomal RNA (255 nucleotides) under uncultured bacterium. RNAcentral describes it as "partial 16S ribosomal RNA". It matches the Rfam family "Bacterial small subunit ribosomal RNA", at positions 524 to 776 of the family's 1533-position model. The record is from RNAcentral.
UACGUAGGGUGCGAGCGUUAAUCGGAAUUACUGGGCGUAAAGCGUGCGCAGGCGGUUCGUUGUGUCGGCGGUGAAAGCCCCGGGCUCAACCUGGGAAUGGCCGUUGAAACUGGCGAACUGGAGUGUGGCAGAGGGGGGUGGAAUUCCGCGUGUAGCAGUGAAAUGCGUAGAGAUGCGGAGGAACACCGAUGGCGAAGGCAGCCCCCUGGGCUGACACUGACGCCUCAGGCACGAAAGCGUGGGGGAGCAAACAGG